CCCGGAUCAUCCCGAUCCGGUAAGCUUCGACCUCCGGUUUUCUCACCCACGAGGUUGACCCCGUGUAUUUGGUCGUGAAAAGGGGAGACGAGAGACGGAGGCGACGCAACGGCGGGGAAAGGCGAUGGCGGCGUGGACUGAACGAGCGAACCACAACGGCGACGACGAGAUCCUGCUCCGGCGAUUGGUCCCCUAUUUUGCAGUAGGUUGGUCUCAUACAUCAAAAUAUGUAGAGAGACCAAUUUAUUCAAGACGAGGAGUCGGCUAUCAUGUGGCUCCGGGGAGAGCUGCAAGAGUUGACUUGAGGUUGAUCUUGAUGAAAACAUUUGGAAGGAUAUGAACAACGAAUGAUCCCACCAACUGCUUUUUAGAACUGGCAUUUGAGAGCAGCAUAAUUUUUUUUUGCCACCGAAUAGAAUAUUCCAUGAGAUCGAAUGAUCCGUUUUUUUUUGUAUUACCAUGCAAUGUUUUAUAAACAUUCUUAUAUAUUUAUUGCAAAGAUAUGAUUUUUAUUUGA
Lolium perenne is the source of this 517-nucleotide long non-coding RNA. RefSeq lists it as uncharacterized. The record is from RefSeq and is a predicted model, not a curated record. NCBI's taxonomy places the organism in Eukaryota, Viridiplantae, Streptophyta, Magnoliopsida, Poales, Poaceae.